This 2391-nucleotide ribosomal RNA is filed under the name Escherichia coli. Its description in RNAcentral is "partial 23S ribosomal RNA". It matches the Rfam family "Bacterial large subunit ribosomal RNA", at positions 1 to 2417 of the family's 2925-position model. Lineage: Bacteria; Pseudomonadati; Pseudomonadota; Gammaproteobacteria; Enterobacterales; Enterobacteriaceae. The record is from RNAcentral.
GGUUAAGCGACUAAGCGUACACGGUGGAUGCCCUGGCAGUCAGAGGCGAUGAAGGACGUGCUAAUCUGCGAUAAGCGUCGGUAAGGUGAUAUGAACCGUUAUAACCGGCGAUUUCCGAAUGGGGAAACCCAGUGUGAUUCGUCACACUAUCAUUAACUGAAUCCAUAGGUUAAUGAGGCGAACCGGGGGAACUGAAACAUCUAAGUACCCCGAGGAAAAGAAAUCAACCGAGAUUCCCCCAGUAGCGGCGAGCGAACGGGGAGCAGCCCAGAGCCUGAAUCAGUGUGUGUGUUAGUGGAAGCGUCUGGAAAGGCGCGCGAUACAGGGUGACAGCCCCGUACACAAAAAUGCACAUACUGUGAGCUCGAUGAGUAGGGCGGGACACGUGGUAUCCUGUCUGAAUAUGGGGGGACCAUCCUCCAAGGCUAAAUACUCCUGACUGACCGAUAGUGAACCAGUACCGUGAGGGAAAGGCGAAAAGAACCCCGGCGAGGGGAGUGAAAAAGAACCUGAAACCGUGUACGUACAAGCAGUGGGAGCACGCUUAGGCGUGUGACUGCGUACCUUUUGUAUAAUGGGUCAGCGACUUAUAUUCUGUAGCAAGGUUAACCGAAUAGGGGAGCCGAAGGGAAACCGAGUCUUAACUGGGCGUUAAGUUGCAGGGUAUAGACCCGAAACCCGGUGAUCUAGCCAUGGGCAGGUUGAAGGUUGGGUAACACUAACUGGAGGACCGAACCGACUAAUGUUGAAAAAUUAGCGGAUGACUUGUGGCUGGGGGUGAAAGGCCAAUCAAACCGGGAGAUAGCUGGUUCUCCCCGAAAGCUAUUUAGGUAGCGCCUCGUGAAUUCAUCUCCGGGGGUAGAGCACUGUUUCGGCAAGGGGGUCAUCCCGACUUACCAACCCGAUGCAAACUGCGAAUACCGGAGAAUGUUAUCACGGGAGACACACGGCGGGUGCUAACGUCCGUCGUGAAGAGGGAAACAACCCAGACCGCCAGCUAAGGUCCCAAAGUCAUGGUUAAGUGGGAAACGAUGUGGGAAGGCCCAGACAGCCAGGAUGUUGGCUUAGAAGCAGCCAUCAUUUAAAGAAAGCGUAAUAGCUCACUGGUCGAGUCGGCCUGCGCGGAAGAUGUAACGGGGCUAAACCAUGCACCGAAGCUGCGGCAGCGACGCUGAUGCGUUGUUGGGUAGGGGAGCGUUCUGUAAGCCUGUGAAGGUGUGCUGUGAGGCAUGCUGGAGGUAUCAGAAGUGCGAAUGCUGACAUAAGUAACGAUAAAGCGGGUGAAAAGCCCGCUCGCCGGAAGACCAAGGGUUCCUGUCCAACGUUAAUCGGGGCAGGGUGAGUCGACCCCUAAGGCGAGGCCGAAAGGCGUAGUCGAUGGGAAACAGGUUAAUAUUCCUGUACUUGGUGUUACUGCGAAGGGGGGACGGAGAAGGCUAUGUUGGCCGGGCGACGGUUGUCCCGGUUUAAGCGUGUAGGCUGGUUUUCCAGGCAAAUCCGGAAAAUCAAGGCUGAGGCGUGAUGACGAGGCACUACGGUGCUGAAGCAACAAAUGCCCUGCUUCCAGGAAAAGCCUCUAAGCAUCAGGUAACAUCAAAUCGUACCCCAAACCGACACAGGUGGUCAGGUAGAGAAUACCAAGGCGCUUGAGAGAACUCGGGUGAAGGAACUAGGCAAAAUGGUGCCGUAACUUCGGGAGAAGGCACGCUGAUAUGUAGGUGAAGCGACUUGCUCGUGGAGCUGAAAUCAGUCGAAGAUACCAGCUGGCUGCAACUGUUUAUUAAAAACACAGCACUGUGCAAACACGAAAGUGGACGUAUACGGUGUGACGCCUGCCCGGUGCCGGAAGGUUAAUUGAUGGGGUCAGCGCAAGCGAAGCUCUUGAUCGAAGCCCCGGUAAACGGCGGCCGUAACUAUAACGGUCCUAAGGUAGCGAAAUUCCUUGUCGGGUAAGUUCCGACCUGCACGAAUGGCGUAAUGAUGGCCAGGCUGUCUCCACCCGAGACUCAGUGAAAUUGAACUCGCUGUGAAGAUGCAGUGUACCCGCGGCAAGACGGAAAGACCCCGUGAACCUUUACUAUAGCUUGACACUGAACAUUGAGCCUUGAUGUGUAGGAUAGGUGGGAGGCUUUGAAGUGUGGACGCCAGUCUGCAUGGAGCCGGCCUUGAAAUACCACCCUUUAAUGUUUGAUGUUCUAACGUUGACCCGUGAUCCGGGUUGCGGACAGUGUCUGGUGGGUAGUUUGACUGGGGCGGUCUCCUCCUAAAGAGUAACGGAGGAGCACGAAGGUUGGCUAAUCCUGGUCGGACAUCAGGAGGUUAGUGCAAUGGCAUAAGCCAGCUUGACUGCGAGCGUGACGGCGCGAGCAGGUGCGAAAGCAGGUCAUAGUG